This 465-nucleotide ribosomal RNA is filed under the name uncultured bacterium. RNAcentral's name for it is "partial 16S ribosomal RNA". It matches the Rfam family "Bacterial small subunit ribosomal RNA", at positions 28 to 507 of the family's 1533-position model. The record is from RNAcentral.
GACGAACGCUGGCGGCGUGCUUAACACAUGCAAGUCGAACGGAAAGGCCCUGCUUGCAGGGUACUCGAGUGGCGAACGGGUGAGUAACACGUGGGUGAUCUGCCCUGCACUUCGGGAUAAGCCUGGGAGACUGGGUCUAAUACCGGAUAGGAGCCAUUUUUAGUGUGAUGGUUGGAAAGUUUUUUCGGUGUAGGAUGAGCUCGCGGCCUAUCAGCUUGUUGGUGGGGUAAUGGCCUACCAAGGCGGCGACGGGUAGCCGGCCUGAGAGGGUGGACGGCCACAUUGGGACUGGGAUACGGCCCAGACUCCUACGGGAGGCAGCAGUGGGGAAUAUUGCACAAUGGGCGCAAGCCUGAUGCAGCGACGCCGCGUGGGGGAUGACGGCCUUCGGGUUGUAAACUCCUUUCGCUAGGGACGAAGCUUUUUGUGACGGUACCUAGAUAAGAAGCACCGGCUAACUACGUG